AGUUCGGUAAUUGUUAUUACAAUUUCGAUCGGUAAGUUUGAGAAAAUACAGAGUAGUUUGUGAAUUUAAUAUAACUUUACAUAUUUUCUGUAUUCAACAAAUAACUUUACUGAAUACUGCUAUACUUUCUACUGAACUGUUCGGUAAAUUAAAUUUUAAAUGAAUUAUUUAAAAUUGAAAUCCAAAACUUGGAAAAUCCUUGGUAUUGAUAGUUUCUUUAUUAAACAUUUCUGGAAACACUGGCAAGCAUCGUGCCGAAAAAUCACAAUGUUCCAUGAGGGCAAUUUUGAACGAAAAAAAGAAUAACUAGAAGCCACUUGUCACGUCCUGUCCUAGGUUUAUAUUACCGAACGUUUUACCGAGCGCCCAGCUGUUGAAAAGUCGGUGAAAAAAAAAGAAUUCGGUGAUUAAAUAAAUUGGAAAUAAAUCCAAUUUUGAAUGGUGGUACUGUAGCCGAAACGCCGCCCCAUCGGCGAACAGUUCAGAGAUUAUUUAUGAGACAAAGCGAUCUGGAAUUUUCGUAAACGAUCAACAGGAACCAGGACAACUUGACAAUCAAAAUCAAAUUGAAAUUGACCUGGAAUACGUCAAUCAUGUAUUCACCCCUAAAGUCUUGCAGAAACUAUUAGCUCAAAGUGAAACUGGUAAAGAAAUAUUACAACGCGCUAUCAGAGGUGAAUUAUCAGAAAGGAAUCAGCUCCAGCUUUCGGGUAUAAUCGCACAACACCACAUUAGUCUACACAAAAAACUAACUGCUGAGGACCUGCAUCGAUAUAGUCUCUCUGUUAUUAAACUUUUUGAAAACGAGAAACAAGAAAACUAUUAUAUACCAAGAGGAGGUGAUCGAAAAAAUCCGGGUGGUAAAAUCGCCAAUAAAGUAGUAAACUUACGGCAAAGUAAAAGGAAAAACUUAAAUAGAGAGGAAGAACAUGCGAAAAGGACUCAACUAGUUGAUCGCACUAAAGAAAGUUGCAAUAACGACGCAUCAAACUGGUUAAUCCUUAAUCAAGCACCAUGGUCUAUGGUGGUAAUUGAGUUUUGGCCAGAAAGCUUUAGUGUCCGUCAUCGUUUCUUGAAACAUUCUAGAAAUUCUAGUUUGCAUACACAACUCAUGAAAGACUAUCCACAUUAUAGCAACAAGUUUGGA
This is a long non-coding RNA of Wyeomyia smithii (pitcher-plant mosquito), 1147 nucleotides long. RefSeq lists it as uncharacterized. Lineage: Eukaryota; Metazoa; Arthropoda; Insecta; Diptera; Culicidae. The transcript is spliced from 3 exons. The record is from RefSeq and is a predicted model, not a curated record.